RNAcentral lists this long non-coding RNA (1150 nucleotides) under Homo sapiens (human). RNAcentral describes it as "HSALNT0211812". The record is from RNAcentral. Lineage: Eukaryota; Metazoa; Chordata; Mammalia; Primates; Hominidae.
GAGUCUCACUCUGUCACCCAUGCUGGAGUGCAGUGGAGCAAUCUUGGCUCACUGCAACCUCUGCCUCCCAGGUUUAAGGGAUUCUCCUGCCUCAGCCUCCUGAGUAGCUGGGAUUACAGCCUCCCGGGUAGCUGGGAUUACAGGUGCACACCACCACACCCAGCUAAUUUUUGUAUUUUUAGUAGAGAUGGGGUUUUGCCAGGCUGGCUGGUCUCAAACUCCUGACUUCAGGUGAUCCGCCUGCCUCGGCCUCCCAAAGUGCUGGGAUUACAGGUGUGAACCACUGCGCCCAGCCUUAUGUUAACCUUAAAAAAAAAAAAUGCUAUUUCUCUUUCUUCCUGUAGAUUCAAGAAUCCAGAAAUGAAUUAUCUGGAUUCAUUUCCUUUAUCCAGUACAGCUUUGCCUCUACUGGCUUCCUUUGUGCAAUUAUUAGCAAAUUACAUUCCUAUAUGUUAUAGGCCCAACAAUACAUGAAUACAUAUUGUUUUAGGCUUCAACAUAUAAAUUCGGGGCGUACAUAAACAUUCAGUCCAUACCACCUGGCUAGAAGUUCUAGUACAAUGUUUAAUAGAAGUGGUAAGGGUAGACAUUCUUGUCUUCUUGAUCUUAGGGGUAAGCAUCCAAUCUUCACCAAUAAUGAUGAUGUUCACUGUGAGUUUUUCAUAGAUGUUCAGGUUGAAGAAGUUCCCUUCUUUCCUAUUUUGUUUUUACUAUGAAAGGGUGUGGGAUUUUGUUAAAUAGUUUUUUUAUAUCUACCGAGAUGAUCAUGUGGUUUGUGUCUUUUAUUUUAUAUAUUACAUAUUUAUAUAUUAAUAAAAUAUUAUAUAUUUUAUAUAUCAUAGCACUUCCUGUGCUCAAGCAAUCUUCCCACUUCAGCCUCCAGAGUAGCUGGGACUACAGGAACAUACCACCAUGUAUGGAUAAUUUUGUUUAUUUUUUUUAAGAGACAAGGUCUUACUAUGUUGCCCAGGCUAGUCUUGAACUCCUGGACUCAAGUGAUUCACCUGCCUUGGCCUCCCAAAGUGCUGGGAUUACAGGCAUUUUCUUAAAUCCAAUCCGAUAAUCUCUGCCUUUCAUUUGGAUUAUUUAAUCCAUUCCCAUUAAUUUUAUUACUGAAAUAGCUGAAUUUUGCCUGUCAUUUUCCUUUGUU